Molecule: long non-coding RNA, 407 nt
Filed under: Gallus gallus (chicken)
Lineage: Eukaryota; Metazoa; Chordata; Aves; Galliformes; Phasianidae
Source: RNAcentral
UGGAAAAACUAUGCAGCACAACUCUUGAACACAAGAAAUGAACUGUGAAGUUUCCAGGCUGGAGAACUGCAGCAACAACACAGUCUCAAGAUGAAUGUGUGAGAUAUAUGCAGAAGAUUUAUCUAAGAGAGAGACUGAAUGUGAAUCAACAGAAUGCCACCAAUCAUCACUUCUUUGAAAAAAAACUGUUCAGAACAGCAGCUGUGGAGCAAGAUAAACAGCAUGAGAACCAAGGACGUCUUUAGAAGAAGAAAGAACAGCUAAUGGCUUUGAUUGGAUAAGCGCACGCAUGAACGGUUAAGGAGCGUUUGUAAAAUGCUUUGUUAACAUGUAAAGGUGGAUGAGAAAGUUGUAGGGAUGGAUGGCAAAGCUAGAAAAAGAAAACCUGUGAAGGUAUAUAAAUGAUG